RNAcentral lists this long non-coding RNA (1417 nucleotides) under Sus scrofa (pig). RNAcentral's name for it is "lncRNA (ENSSSCG00055008040.1)". Lineage: Eukaryota; Metazoa; Chordata; Mammalia; Artiodactyla; Suidae. The record is from RNAcentral.
AAAACAAAACAAAACAAACAAACAAACAAAAAACACGCAAAAGAAAACCCUUGGCCAGACUGCAAAUAUUUAUAAUCACAUGCUUCUUGGCUUCACAGAAAAAGUUGAUUCUGGAGUCCUUUCAAAGAUGCCCCAGAGAAGAGUUCCCUCUGUGGCUCAAUGGGAUCAGUGGCAUCUCUGCAUCUCCAGGACACAGAUUUGAUCCCCAGCCCAUCACAGUGGAACAGUGUUGCCACAGCUGCAGCAUGGGUCACAACUGCGGCUGGGAUCCCAUCCCUGGCCCGGGUGGGAACUCCAUCUGCCCUGCAGUGGCCCAAAAAGAGAACAAAACAAAACAGCAAAAGAUGGCCUGCCUGUGUGUACAGUGGAAUUUGAAUAACCAAAGGUGUGCUUAGGCCCAGCUCUCCAGACAUUCACCCAAGACAGAACUGGAAGUCCCAGGGAGCAGGUACUAAUGAGGUGGCCUCGUUUCCAUGACUACCACUCUAACACCUGGUGGAGUGACUGGUUCCACGAGUUGUAUGAUAGUAAAGCUAUUCCAGACCCUGGCAUGAACAACUGCCUAGGAGCAACGACCAGAACUCAAGAGUCGCCUGCAUUGCUUGUGUCACGGACCUCUUUGGCGACUUCGCACAAGUCAGUUCACUUUUGUCAAUAUCAUGCCCCUUUCUUGGAAAAAGAGAGGAUGCCUUAAACCACAGCUAGGUUCCCUUCCCAGCCUGACAUAGUGUCCUCUGCAAGGGUCCACGAAGGACGUCAUUGCUGGGCAUGAGUAGGAACGGAACGUGGUACGAUGCCUGCCGGAUGCAGAAGAGAAGGCGUCCAGUCUGCCCGAGGGUCCCAUCUCUGUGACAUCCCCCUGUGCCGGGACCACUGGACAAGUGAUAAAUGGAGAGCUAUUAUGACGGUGCCAGCGGCAGGGAGAGAAGCCACAGCAGAGGAAGUCUUUCAGCAAGGGCCCCACAGUGUCCCGUCUCUGCAGCUGGAGCUCUGCGGCGUCCAGGCUCUGAGACCACCUCGGCUACAGUCAGGCAGCCUUUUGUGACCCCCAUCGUCAUCACCUCUGCUCAGGUAGGAGGUCAACUGAGGCAUCUCUUUCUGCCUUGACUUCAUUUAUUCAUUCAACAAACACAUGCCUAGAGCCUACUAUUUCCCAGGCACUGUGCUGGGUGUUGGUGUGACACAGAUUCAAUACCUAGGGGUAAGGAACUGAGGUGACAGCCGGGGAGACCAACAAUCCCCUUUGAAGGGGACAAUGCACUUAAACACCCAGAGGCCAGAUCAAGGGCCAGGCCGGACUCCAGAAUGCCUGGCUUCUGAGGAGGAGGUCGAGCUGUUUACCUGGACUGGGAGGGUUAACAGGGGAGCGGGAGUCCAAAUUGGGCUUUGGGGGCUUGUGGGAGCAGCAGCGGGGAGG